RNAcentral lists this ribosomal RNA (253 nucleotides) under uncultured bacterium. RNAcentral's name for it is "partial 16S ribosomal RNA". It matches the Rfam family "Bacterial small subunit ribosomal RNA", at positions 524 to 776 of the family's 1533-position model. The record is from RNAcentral.
GACGGAGGGGGCUAGCGUUGUUCGGGAUGACUGGGUGUAAAGGGCGCGUAGGCGGUGUCUUAAGUGAGGCGUGAAAGCCCUGGGCUUAACCCAGGAGGUGCGUUUCAUACUGGAAUGCUAGAGUGCGAGAGAGGAAAGUGGAAUUCCUAGUGUAGAGGUGAAAUUCGUAGAUAUUAGGAAGAACACCAGAGGCGAAGGCGGCUUUCUGGCUCGCAACUGACGCUGAGGCGCGAAAGCGUGGGGAGCAAACAGG